UCGCAUCUGUGCAUGCAGCAUAUCAAUAAGCGGAGGAAAAGAAACUAACAAGGAUUCCCCUAGUAACGGCGAGUGAAGCGGGAAGAGCUCAAAUUUGAAAUCUUAAAGGGUUUCCCUUUACGAAUUGUAGUUUAAAGAAGUGUUUUCUGUUGAGGUUUUGGUAAAAGUUCUUUGGAAUAGGACAUCAUAGAGGGUGAGAAUCCCGUAUUUGACCUUUACUUUCAACUUUGUGAUACACUUUCAAAGAGUCGGAUUGUUUGGGAAUGCAGUCCAAAAUGGGUGGUAAAUUUCAUCUAAAGCUAAAUAUUGGCGAGAGACCGAUAGCGAACAAGUACCGUGAGGGAAAGAUGAAAAGAACUUUGAAAAGAGAGUUAAACAGUACGUGAAAUUGUCAAAAGGGAAGCGUUUGACACCAGUGUUGUUUUUCUGAAAAUCAAUUAAAGAACUGUUUAUGCUAAGUUGUUUAGACUUUAUCAGCUAACUGUUUAGUUUUGAGCUUUUCUUUAAUGCACUUUUCAGUUAACAAGUCAACAUCAAUUUCUUUUGCUGUAAAAAAGCUUGAGGAAGGUGGCUUGAGAUUCGUCUUAAGUGUUUAUAGCCUCUUGCCUAUGCAGUCGGAGAGAUUGAGGUCUGCAGCGUAGAUCCUUCGGGGCUAAAUGCAUUUGUGCUAAGUUAUAGCAUUUUAUAGACAACUUGUUGACUAUGAUUUGUCUUGUAGCUUACUCGCUUAUGUUAUUUUACCUACGCUUAGGAUGUUGAAGAUGUAGCACAUCAU
Molecule: ribosomal RNA, 775 nt
Filed under: uncultured Neocallimastigales
Lineage: Eukaryota; Fungi; Neocallimastigomycota; Neocallimastigomycetes; Neocallimastigales
Description: partial large subunit ribosomal RNA
Rfam family: Eukaryotic large subunit ribosomal RNA
Source: RNAcentral